Molecule: long non-coding RNA, 10500 nt
Organism: Corythoichthys intestinalis (scribbled pipefish)
Lineage: Eukaryota; Metazoa; Chordata; Actinopteri; Syngnathiformes; Syngnathidae
Exons: 2
Source: RefSeq, a predicted model, not a curated record
UUUAGCAUGAUCUUGCUCACAUAUACAAUGCUGCUGCUAACAGCCAACGCGGCAUGCCUGCUGUCAUGAAAAUAAAAAUAAAUCGAAAGUUUAAUUUCUAAUUAUGGAACGGCCAACACAUCAUAUUAACCUCUCGCUCUGUUGUAUUUUUGUUUUUUAUUAUUAAGAUGAUCGUUUUGAAUUUUUGCACUGGUAUUAAUAAAUAAAAUAAUCCGGUCAGCUCCCCUGUCGUCCCCGCAUCUCAGAUCGUCAAAUGCUGACGAGAAAUAAUUGUUUGCUUUAUGAUUUCGCCUUUCUACUCUCAUUAGUCUGUUAAGAAAAAUGUAGACAUAUUGCGACAUCUCCCGUGUCCGCGCGCUUUGUUUUUGGGGCGCUUGAGUAGCACAUGAUGGACGGAUUGACAUAAUUUGUCAAACCAACCGACACCCUCUGACACGGAAAAAAAAAAAAAAAAAAAAAACACUCGGAAAAAAUUGACAUGUAUAUACAGUUUCAUUGCAAAUCAGUAUUAUGGUGAUCAUACUAAAUAUUAUUUUUUUUCUGUGCACAUAUGAGGUACAUAUCGCUGCCAUGAAGCCUCCAUAUAGUGACAGUUCUCUGCCCGCUUCACUGCCGUCACGCGACCGCAGCUCAGGUUUUGCUUGCCUCGUAGCUACGCGUGUUUUAAAUUACUGUAAAUUUGAUAGUAUAUCGUCAUAGGCACAGUCCCGAGUCUGUUGAGAAAAGUAGAACACUAAACCAUGCUCGCUAGAUUUGUGUGGUGUUUUUGUCUUUUUGAGCAGCAUUUGAUAGGCUCCACGUUAACAAAUAUGUGACAAAGUCGUUUCCUUUCAUUUUAUGACUCGUUCACCGCAUAGUCAUUACUGGAAAGUCAAGUUAGCAGCAAGCUAGGUCAGGAACCGGAGGACCGAAUCACUGAACGGGAAGUGACAAAACUCAGUCUUUCCCCCCUGCCUGCACGCUGGCUGCUUAUUGGCCACACGUGGAAAUGAGUGACAUACGCCAUGAUUCUGUUUCCGCUCCCUCCCCUGCCCGCGAUGAGGCUGGCGUCUGAUUGGUCGUGUGCGAUGUCAGAAGACGCUGCCGCUUGCUCAACGCCCUCCCACGCAGCGAACAAGCGCCACCAACUUCAUAGAACGAAUCAGUGCAGAUGGUGAUUAGUUCGGUCUCGUUCACCCAAACAAUUCGUUCAAAAAGAACGAAUCGUUCGCGACCGAUACAACACUACUAUGGCUGCAGUCAGGUAUUAUUGGAGCCACCUAGCAUCGCGGUUGCAGCGGCGUCUCCCCAACUCCUGCUCUGCUCUCGUCCCCGGGUGGCCUGCGGGGCUGGAAAAGCCCCGGAGUCAUUGAAAGACCACUUCAUGGACGAUGUUCGAAGACAUCCAGCUGGCAACACAAGUACCUUUACGUUGGUGGGAAAAAAACAGCUUUUGAUGUUGUUUUGGACAAAAUUCAUAUAAUAAACAAUAACCUAAGCCCUUAAUUAGCUUUAGGUAAAAUAAUUAACAGUGUAUAACAGUGUAGUGAUUUUAAUGCAAACAGGUCAUUGAUACAAUAAACUAUGUCACGAGUAAACUAUUAGAGAACUGUAACCUGAUCAAAGUACACAUGUGGGACUUUUAAUUCAAAUUUUCUAAAUAUUCGCACUGUAAAAAUCCAUAGUUUUGAGUUUUAUGAGUAGACUGAGAUGUUCAUAUUUACCAAUCUUGGCCAGAAUUUAUACAGAAUCGUGGAUUUACAGUACCACAAAAAAAGAGAACUGUAACCUGUACCAGAUCGAAGUUCACAUGUAGGACAUUUAAUUCAUUUUACUAAAUAUUGGUCCACUAAACAUUCAGCUUUGAGUUUGUGAGCAGUGAGAUAGGUCCACUACUAAAGUUCACCAACCCAGGCCAGAAGGUAUUCAAAAUUGUGGAUUUACAGUACCACAGAAAUGAGAACUGUACACUGAUCAAAGUAUACAUGUAGGACUUUUAAUUAAUUUUUCUAAAUAUUCGUACAGCAAUCAUGCAUAGUUUUGAGCAUGGAAGUAGUUAGAGAGGUCUACUACUAAUAUCCACCAACCUUGGCCAGUAUUUAUUCAGAUGUGUGGAUUUACAGUGCCACAAAAUAAUGAGAACUGUAACCUAACAUCUACUAAAAUGACCCUUUGCUAAAGGGAAUCUAAUAUUGUACUGAUGUGACAGCGCUCAUAAUGCACAUGUAAAUGGAGCAGUUUUAAGAUCAGGCGACUUUAUUUCGUUUAUGAAAUGGUGUUAUAUAUUCAGAGUUAUAUAUUUUAGAUUGUUGAGUAAUUUAAUCGAACGUCCUCGUCCAGUCUCACUCCGUUAUUUUGUACUAAUUGCUGGCUUUUAAUACUAGAUAUGGGAAGACCACAGAGCUACACAUUCCAGUCGUUGAAACGAGACUUGGCAAAUCGGUUAAAAAGUCAUUAUAGGACAACUCUACUCCAGGGUUUUUCCUAAGAUUUUUUUGAAGUUAUGGUGGUGGUGGUGGGCCGCAUCAGAGUCGGACAGCCCCACCAUGUCGUGCCGCAGAAAAUUGUUUCAUAUCAUGACAAAUGAGAAUUUUUUUUGAACAACUUAAUUUUUUUCCAAAAAGAACCAUAACAAAGAUAUAUUUGCAAAGUUUGCAUUCUGCCUGUGAACACUUGAUUUUCCUGGAUGAAAAAAAAAACAAAAAACAAUUUGAGGGCUCUUUCUACAUCAAAUUAUAUAAUAAAUAGAAGGAUUUAUAGUAGUGCUUUGUCGUAGCUCACAGCUAAGGUACAUGUACGUAGAGUGCGUAGCGGCUUACAGCUACAUUACCCUUACGUAAUAAUACAACUUUUUUUCUUGUUACAAUAGUACGACUUUAAUCUCGUAGUCCUUCUUUUUUUUUUUCUUUAUUUGGCCCGAAUACUCCGUCGCACAAUACCACCACUAAAAUAAUAGUCCUUCUGUUAACGAACCCUCGCCUGUUGACAACUUUAAUCUUUCCAAAAUACUCAUCUGAAAUUAUAACCAGUUAUGUCCCCAACGAACAAAUGCUAUGCUACGACACAAUGAUUCGGAUCAAUGACAUCGUUACAUCAAUGUCAAUAUUAGUGUCAUUUUGACAGGCUUAAAACAGAAUUACAUUCAUUAACUUGAAAUACUGUUCUGUGGAUUUUUCUCCCGAUUUCCAACUCUGCGCGGAGAUAGUCAGGCACAAGCUUGCAACAGGAGAACCGAUGUGAUUUUCAAAAUAAAGCGUUUAAUGAAAAAAUUUGUAUUUGACGUGCUAUUUCAGAUGACUUCAGGCAAAAUAGUGUGUAAAAAAUGAGCUAUAUAUUUUUCAUUAUUCAUUUAGACGUCAUGUUAAAUUAUAAAAAUUAUGAAUGAUUAAUUAGAUUGUAUCUUUAGAUAUUAAUUGGAAAAAAAAAAGUCAUUUGCAAGGCAUGGUGACUUUUAUUUUAGAGUGGCGAAGUGCCACAAUCUUUUAUGUGUAGGGGAAACCCAGUACUCAAAACAUAAUUAAUUACAUGAAAAUGUUUUAAGAUAACUACAGAUCUAAAGCUGUUUUCAUUAUUUUAUUUGAAUGAAUGUAAAAUUUACUAGACGAAACACUCCCAGCAUCAUAUAUUUUUCAUUCAGACAUCUCUCUUGUUAAUCUUGCUGAUAUAACUCAGUUUGCUUUGGUGAUUCUUGUUAGUCAUACAAAAUUUAAGAAAUACAGGAGCAGGCUAUUCUAUCCGACGAAAUGUUCAUGGAAAAUGGUUAAAAGGCCACGUGGACAGUACUCCACAGGCGGCAUGUUGCUCACAGAACAUCAGCUGAACGUGAGCUUGUUUAUAAGACUGUCCGUGCAGAGUGGCAGUUGACAACAGGCAGCAGACUGGAUGUGAAAGCAUCUCUUCCAUUCAGAAUUCCAAUUACAUGCUUGAAUCUCUUUUAUGAAAGGAGAAAAAAAUAAGAUCGUUUCAACAGAGACCCCAUAUGAAUAAACCCCAUCAUGGCUUUCACACUCAGGGGGCUCAGGGGGGGUGACACUGAUAUCGCAUAUUCCUCUCCACCCCCGCUAAUUUGCAUAUUUACAGUCUGCCAUGCUAAUCAAGUUUAUUGGGGGAUAUAAGGACUGUGCAUGAGCUCAAUCGAGAAGGACAGAAUUUGUACCAGCCUCUAUUAGAUGCACAAGGAAGAUAAUUCCACACAACCACUGCCACCCAACACAGACAUACACACACGCACACCCCUCUUUGAAAAGGAAUGGUUUCUCCUUUGCUAAUCCAAUUUCAAAAGACAAAAAGAGCCAUCUUAUGUAACUAGGACAGCUUCUUCUAAUUAUAGUGUUAAUGCACUGUGAAGAAUUCCCCUGAUUUGGAACACAGACCAAGAUUUUGGAGAUAUUUUUGUUUUCCUAGUUGUGGGCUGUUUGAGCAAGUGCAACCAGAGUAUCACAUUCAUACAAAGAACAGGUUCAAUGCACUUUUGUCUGUUUUAAAACACUCAUUGACUGGCUUUAUCGCAAAAAAAGAAAAAAAAAUGGAGGACGAACUAAGCAGCAUGAAACAAAUGGCAUAGGCAUUAAGACCCGUUGUGAUAAAUGAGAUCUGAUUAACUGAUUAAUGGAGGUAUUAAGUUAUUCGCUGCCAGAGGUUCUAUACUGGCAGCUAUUAUUGAGCAUUUUGACAGACUUUUUAAUAAAAUGCUGUGUUCUAAGAUUACAUACAGUAUUGGCACCCCUGCAAUUCUGUCAGAUAAUGCUCAAUUUCUCCCAGAAAAUGAUUGGAAUUAAAAUGCUUUGGUAGUAAUAUCUUAAUUUAUUUUGCUUGCAAUUAAAAAACAUAAACAAUGGGGGAAAAAAAAGAUUAUCAUUUUACACAAAACUCCAAAAAUAGGCCAGACAAAAGUAUUGGCACCCUUUGAAAAUUAUGUGAUCCUUCUCAACUUUGUGUAAUUAACAGCACCUGUUACUUACCUGUGGCACAUACAGUGGGGCAAAUAAGUAUUUAGUCAACGACCAAUUAUGCAAGUUCUCCUACUUAAAAAAAAAAUUGAGAGGCCUGCAAUUGUCAACAUGGGUAAACCUCAACCAUGAGAGACAGAAUGUGGGGAAAAAAAGAGAAAAUCACAUUGUUUGAUUUUUAAAGAAUUUAGUUCCAAAAUAAAGUGGAAAAUAAGUAUUUGGUCACCUACAAACAAGCAAGAUUUAUGGCUGUCAAAGAGGUCUUACUUCUUCUAACGAGGUCUAACGAGGCUCCACUCGUUACCUAUAUUAAUGGCACCUGUUUUACAUCAUUAUCGGUAUAAAAGACACCUGUCCACAAACUCAGUCAGUCACAGUCCAAACUCCACUAUGGUCAUGACCAAAGAGCUGUCGAAAGACACCAGAGACAAAAUUGUAGAUCUGCACCAGGCUGGGAAGACAAUCUGCAAUAGGUAAAACGCUUGGCGUCAAGAAAUCAACUGUUGGAGCAAUUAUUAGAAAAUGGAAGACAUACAAGACCACUGAUAAUCUCCCUCAAUCUGGGGCUCUAUGCAAGAUCUCACCCCGUGGCGUCAAAAUGAUAACAAGAGCAAUGAGCAAAAAUCCCAGAACCACACGGGGGGACCUAGUGAAUGACCUACAGAGAGCUGGGACCACAGUAACAAAGGCUACUAUCAGUAACACAAUGCGCCGCCAGGGACUCAAAUCCUGCACUGCCAGACGUGUCCCCCUGCUGAAGCCAGUACACGUCCAGGCCCGUCUGCGGUUCGCUAGAGAGCAUUUGGAUGAACCAGAAGAGGACUGGGAGAAUGUGUUAUGGUCAGAUGAAACCAAAGUACAGCUUUUUGCUAGUAACACAGGUUCAUGUGUUUGGAGGAGAAAGAAUACUGAAUUGCAUCCGAAGAACACCAUACCCACUGUGAAGCAUGGGGGUGGAAAUCAUGCUCUGUGGCUGUUUUUCUGCAAAGGGACCAGGACGACUGAUCUGUGUAAAGGAAGGAAUGAAUGGGGCCAUGUAUCGAGAGAUUUUGAGUGAAAAUCUCCUUCCAUCAGCAAGGACAUUGAAGAUGAGAUGUGGCUGGGUCUUUCAGCAUGACAAUGAUCCCAAACACACAGCCAGGGCAACAAAGGAGUGGCUUCAUGAGAAGCAUUUCUAAGUCCUGGAGUGGCCCAGCCAGUCUCCACAUCUCAACCCUAUAGAAAAUCUGAAGAGGGAGUUGAAAGUCCGUGUUGCCCAAUGACAGCCCCAAAACAUCACUGCUCUUGAGGAGAUCUGCAUGGAGGAAUGGGCCAAAAUACCAGUAACAGUGUGUGAAAAGCUUGUGAAGAGUUACAGAAAAUGUUUGGCCUCCGUUAUUGCCAACAAAGGGUACAUAACAAAGUAUUGAGAUGAACUUUUGGUAUUGACCACAUACUUAUUUUCCACCAUGAUUUGCAAAUAAAUUCUUUAAAAAUCAAACAAUGUGAUAUUCUGGAUUUUUUCCCCCUUAUUCUGUCUCUCAUGGUUGAGGUAUACCCAUAUUGACAAUUACAGGCCUCUCUAACAUUUUCAAGUGGGAGAACUUGAACAAUUGGUCGCUGACUAAAUAAUUAUUUGCCCUACUGUAACAGGUGGUGGCAAUAACUAAAUCACACUUGCAGCCAGUUCAAAUUGAUUAAAAUUGACUCAACUAAUGUCCUGUGUACCACAUUGAGCAUGGAGAAAAGAAAGAAGACCAAAGACCUCCCUGAGGACUUGAGAAGCAAAAUUGUGAGGAAGCAUGGGCAAUCUCAAGGUUACAAGUUUCCAUCUCCAAAGACCUAAAUGUUCCCGUUUCUACCGUGCGCAGCAUCAUCAAUUCGUAUAAAGCUUAUGGCACUGUGGCUAAUCUCCCUAGAUGUGGACGGAAAGGAAAAAUUGAUGAGAGGUUUCAACGAAAGAUUGUGCGGAUGGUGGAUAAAGAACAUCGACUAAAAUCCAAACAAGUUCAAGCUAUUCUGCAGUCCGAUGUUACAACAGUGUCAACCCUUACUAUCCGUCGGCUUCUGAAUGAAAAGGGACUCUAUGGUAGCAUACCCAAGAAUACCCCACUUCUGGCCCACAAACAUACAAAAACCAGGUUGGAGUUUGCCAGAACUUACCUGAGAAAGCCAAAAACGUUUUGGAAGAAUGAUGUCUGGUCAGAUGAGACAAAAGUAGAGCUUUUGGGGGAAAGGCAUCAACAUAGAGUUCACAGGGAAAAAAACGAGGCCUUCAAAGAAAAGAACACGGUCCCCACAGUCAAACAUGGCGGAGGUUCCCUGAUGUUUUGGGGUUGCUUUGCUCCCUCAGAGGUCAUGGGUCUUCCAGCAGGACAAUGACGCAAAACACACUUCAAAAAGCACUAGAAAAUGGUUUGAAAGAAUGGACUGGAGGUUUCUAAAGUGGCCUGCAAUGAGACCAGACCUGAAUCCCAUAGAACACAUGUGGAGAGAUCUGAAAAUGGCAGUUUGGAGAAAGCACCCUUCAAAUCUCAGAGACCUGGAACAGUUGGCCAAAGAAAAAUGGUCUAAAAUUCCAGCAGAGCAUUGUAAGAAACUCGUAAUGGAUACCAGAAGCGGUUGUUCGCAGUUAUUUUGUCUAAAGGUUGUGCUACCAAGUAUUAGGCUGAGGGUGCCAAUAAUUUUGUCUAGCCCAUUUUUGGAGUUUUGUGCAAAAUAAUAAUUUUUAUUUUCUUUUUUCAUUCUCUUUGGUGUUUUUUCAUCGUAAGUAAAAUAAAUGAAGAUAUUACUACUAAAGCAUUUGUAAUUGCAAUCAUUUUCUGGUAGAAAUUGAGCAUUAUCUGACAGAAUUGCAGGGGUGCCAAUACUUUUGGCCAGCGAUGUACAUUACUUUCUUUCACCAGGAACAUAUGUUUGAGUUGACAUUUUUCAUACAUACAUUUUUCAGCAGUAGACAAUGGACAGGUUUUUCAAAAUAGAGCUGUUUCCCCAUAAAACUAGCAAAAUAUUUAUUGUUGCUGAUCAAUCACUGCCAGCCCUCUACCUUAAAAAGGAUUUAGCAUAUAUAUUAAAUAGCUACCACCAUUUAUGCAGUCAAAGUAGUAUCUCAUUUAUUACUGUAAGCUAUGGUUUGCAAUGGUCCUUUUCUCAUAGACCUCUUUGCCAGUCCUGUUGUGUACUAUGUAUGAGGUUCAAACUAUGGCGAAUAAGAGUCUAAGCCCACAUUCUACCACUGUCACAUUUGAGCUUCCACACAAAAGGCGCGCAGUUGUCGUCAGCCGCAAAGCGAGAAAGCGAGGGAGUCGUGUAAACCACAGCCGAGCUUUAAUUGCUGGUGUCAGGGCUGAGACACGGUCGAACAGGAAAUAAUCACGUUAAUGAAACAUUUUAAUUAUUCAACAUAAUUGUGGAAUGUGAUGAACGUGUCAGCGAAUCCCUUGUCUGGCUGUUAGCACAAGGUGUCCCCCUCCAAAACACACACACAUUCCAAAUAUCGUCUCUCUCUUUCACCAUUAAAAACAGCUGCUUUCCCUCAUCUGUAAUAUGCGCACAACAGGAGCGAGAUCAAUCUGAACCAUAUUUACUUGUACUUGUCCGCUCUGGGUCGCCGCUCAAUGCCACCCACCUAUGCCUUUAUGCCCACUGCCCUGAGCCCCUGCGGCCAUUCCGCACCUCACUGCAGGGCUUGCUGGUGUAUCGAUCCAAGAAUGAGCAGCAGAAUACAAGAGUGCAGGUCUUUCUGCAGGUUCUUUCUAUGAAUUUUCCCUUGCUCAGUUGCCAACUAAUAUGUAUCACAAGCUCACACACGCGCAUGGUGGCCCACAGCGCGCACCAGAUAAUUAAAGGCAUAUAAAACAAACACAAUGAUCAGCUCAUUACAACCCAUGAGACUCUGUCUUCCUGAUUUGGUCUUCCUUUUUUGCCUUCCGUGUCUUCCAAUCCUCAUCUUAGUAAUACUGAUGUACCUUCCUUCCCUCCUUCUUUCCUUCCUCCUUCCUUCUGUGCGUUCUUUGUUUCUUCCCUUUUUCGUUUCUUUCUUUCUUCUGUCAUUUUUUUUUACUUCCUUCCUUCCAUCCCUCCGUCCUUCCCUUCUUUCACUAGCCACUCACAUCUCUGCCAGUUGUCUGCAGCACUGCUAAUUCCCUCCUCUCAUUUGCAUGGUUAUCAAUGUGUUUGGACCAGCCAACAGAAGCAGUUGGAAGGUGGGGGUCGUUAAUAUGUUAAUUAGCCGCCUCCAUUUUCUCUUGUUCAAUUUUAGACAUGGGUGCACCAACCCGUAGCUUCCACCAGCUCGCUCAAUGUCUGUUAUGCACAAUAGAGAAAUGCUAGAUUUGAAGCUAAGUUUAUGUACACCUAGCUUAAAUGUUCUUCAAGUAUUCUUCCAAGUCUCAAUAAAACUCUUGGAAAGGCUUUUAUACAUUUGUAUAAAACCUAGUAAUUUCUGAGUAACUUCUCCAAGAAAAUACGUUUCUGAGAGUUACCGCUCUCAACUAUUCCAUGAACCAUCACCACUUGGAAUCGAACCUAUUUCACACACAUUCAUACACUAAAAGCUAAACCAACCUCCAGCCUGUUCUUCUGCUGUAAUUCGGAAUUGUGUUAAGUCUCCGCGGUCAAAAACUUGGAUGGUGAUAGUUUUUGCUGGCUGGCGUCAUCCCAAUAUGUUGCGCCCCAAACCCAAAAGGACCAAAUGUUAGAUUUGAAGCUAGGUUUGUGUAAACCUAGCUUGGCUACAAAGAACAUGCAGGAAGUUGAUGUAGCUUUUGUGGAGGUUGGUAGCUGCUCCCCCAGUUGCUGUGAUAGCAACCCUUUUUAUACAGGGUCAAACAAUAGGAUGGGAGGGGCAGGAAAGCAACAUAGAACAUAGAAUAGAAUAUAUAGACUACAUGGGGGCCACAUGGCCCAGGACUAAUGAAAGGCUGACAAGACAUAAGUUCUCCUAUUAGGUGACUAACUACAAUUAGUAAGGCAAAAAUUUUAACUGUAUGCAUAAUAAUUCUAACAAGAAUAUACAAAAUGCGGAAAGUAGUUUGGUUUUUCCAAUUGUAUUGAUUGUUGAAAUAUAUAUUUAUGACAAUAAAAUAUGAAAGAAACAGACUUGACUUUAAUGUUUAUUUAAUGCUAUUAAUGUUUUUAAAAAGGAUAUGGCUCAUUGUGUGCAUCUAGCAACAGUAUAGUAAGUAGGUAAGCACUCAAAAAUUCAUUACAAACAGCUGUCAGACCUAAAACAAUAUUUUAAGACUGCCUGGAGGGGGGAGAGGGGGGUUCUCUCGCUUUAUUCUUCUUGGUGAGGUCACCAAUAAAAAUUGCUACUACUCCAUUGAUUGGGCGCCCGUACUUCUUUUGAAUUGUAUUGUCUUACACUUUUUCUGACUAAUCUACUUUUUAGAAAAAUAAACUUUGUUCUAAUUGGCUACUAUUAGUUGAAAACAAGUGAUGUGGAAUGUGACUACAUUUUCCUGAUCAAAUUACUUUCAAGGAUUUACGAAAUAGUGAUUGUCGUACGGUACCAUCACACAUAAUAACACUAACUAAUAACAAUAUUAAACGUGUUGGUUCACCCAAUUAGUUUAAGGACUUGUUAUAGGGG